GGCAGCGGAAAGUAGCCUGCCACUUUUGCCGGCGAAGCGGCGGACGGGUGAGUAAUGUCUGGGAACUGCCUGAUGGAGGGGGAUAACUACUGGAAACGGUAGCUAAUACCGCAUAACGUCGCAAGACCAAAGAGGGGGACCUUCGGGCCUCUUGCCAUCAGAUGUGCCCAGAUGGGAUUAGCUAGUAGGUGGGGUAACGGCUCACCUAGGCGACGAUCCCUAGCUGGUCUGAGAGGAUGACCAGCCACACUGGAACUGAGACACGGUCCAGACUCCUACGGGAGGCAGCAGUGGGGAAUAUUGCACAAUGGGCGCAAGCCUGAUGCAGCCAUGCCGCGUGUAUGAAGAAGGCCUUCGGGUUGUAAAGUACUUUCAGCGGGGAGGAAGGCGUUGAGGUUAAUAACCUCAGCGAUUGACGUUACCCGCAGAAGAGCACCCGUCUAACUCCGUGCCAGCAGCCGCGGUUAU
Molecule: ribosomal RNA, 468 nt
Filed under: Enterobacter cancerogenus
Lineage: Bacteria; Pseudomonadati; Pseudomonadota; Gammaproteobacteria; Enterobacterales; Enterobacteriaceae
Description: bacterial SSU rRNA
Rfam family: Bacterial small subunit ribosomal RNA
Source: RNAcentral